UACGGGGGGAGCAAGCGUUGUUCGGAUUUACUGGGCGUAAAGGGCGCGUAGGCGGCGCAACAAGUCACUUGUGAAAUCUCCGGGCUUAACCCGGAGCGGCCAAGUGAUACUGUCGUGCUAGAGUGCGGAAGGGGCUACUGGAAUUCUCGGUGUAGCGGUGAAAUGCGUAGAUAUCGGGAGGAACACCUGUGGCGAAGGCGACCCCCUGGUUGGAUACUGACGCUGAGACGCGAAAGCGUGGGGAGCAAACAGG
Molecule: ribosomal RNA, 253 nt
Filed under: uncultured bacterium
Lineage: Bacteria
Description: partial 16S ribosomal RNA
Rfam family: Bacterial small subunit ribosomal RNA
Source: RNAcentral